AAAAUAUUUUAAAAUCUCGCUUCACUGUAGUAGGUUAACAGAAAAAAAUAAAUAAAAAAAAAAUGUAUCGUAUCGCGCGUAUAGAAAAAUUGUUGCAAUCUGUGGGAAUUUCUGACUUUGACGUAUAAAACGAAUUUUUGCAUGUGUCUGACCUCACGCGAAACGGACGGACGCGAAUACAAUGACGCUUUAUUAAUAAUAAAGUCAAAAGUGACUUUUUUCGGGGGGAACCUUGCCUCCGAUUCGCGUGUUGUGUGCGUGUGUGUGUGUGCGCGCAUUUUUACCCGUUCCCGUUUGGGUUUGCGGAAAGAAACGAUGAGGAGACCGCAUUGGGACAUUCAGCCAGAAACGUGACGCCGCACCACAUUGUACAAAAGUUAAAUUGCUCUGUUACAACAUUGGCCGCCAUCCAUUUACAUCGCGAUUUCGAACUUAGAAAGGACGUGUUCGGAAAUUUAAUCCCCACCGUUCUCUCUUUCUCUCUCAUCCCGUUGUUAUGGUUACUGUUUCGAUUUCCGAAUCUCCACCGAGAUAAAGUGCAGUCGAUUUCCGAACGUGUCACGUCGAUUCCGCAUUACUUUUUAAAGAACCCAGUCCGUCCGAAGUCUUUAAUGAUUGACAGCAUCGGAGGACAGACAUAAAAGCUUUGUAAUGACAAAUAAUAUAUGAAUCUCCCCCUUCCUAGGCGAACGUGUGACACACACACAGAUUAAUCCUGGUUAUUAAUUCGUAAGAAAGAUGAAUGCUUCCUUUUAUCAGCUGACGUCGGAGAGGAGAAAAAAAAAAAAAAAAAGGUUAAUGUAUUAACCCCGUCGGUCUGACUCAGCCUUACAUUCUCCGUAGUAAUUUUAGAGUUCAGAAGUCCCGAUCGAGCGCACCGUCCAAAAAUAGAUGGUUAAGAUAAACAAGCGUAUCCACGUGACUGAAUGGAACCACUUUGCUUGAGAAACAAGUAGGGUCUGUCGCUGUUUGUAACCCGAUAUGAUGUGAAUAUAACCAGCUGUCUGUUAGUCGGCCGGUCACGUGAUUCGGCAAACACCCUGUUACGUAAGCUUUCAUGUACCGAGGUGUUUAAAUGAAUGCUUUUCUAUCCGUAAGUCGUCGGGUGACAGCUUAUCAGCCGAGUUCGAUUGGGAGGCGAUGACAAGUUGUCUUAAGAGACUGAAAAUGUGUUGAUCGUGCUUCACCAAACAAAGAGGAUUAAAUUCUGUACGUCAAAGUAGAUAAAACCGUGCUGUAAGAGAACGACUAAUGCCGUUAAAGGUCACAGUGCAACUACGGAAUCGAUCCGGUUUAUUCGGAGUUGUGUCGAAAAUAUUGAUCAUAAAUAAGCAUUUUUAUACGAUCCUUCCAGUAUAAAACCGAAAAUGACAAGUUCUGGAAGGGGGGAUGAGGGAAUCGUUGAUGUGAGUAUCUGUUAUUCACGUUCGGAUGAAGCUUGGAGAAGAGGUCAGUCCAGAGACGUGACGGGCCAGAAAAUCGCACAUUAAUUCUCCUAAUGGCUUACUGCUGUACUUCCUAACUCUAUACAAUGCGUGGUUGAACUGUUCUGUUUACACCGUAGCGAAUUAAGGAGCCGAGAGUGCAACCACAUGACUAAAACAUGCAAAGCAAACACCGUUCCCCUCGUUGCAUUUAGCAUAAACUUACUUCUACUGCACGUUUCCAACUUUCCUACUCUACAAUUCCUCGAAUAUGUAUAUAUAUAUAUAUUUUUCAUAAAUAAAGAAGAAGAAAACUCUCCUCUUUGCUUAAUAUGCGAGAUAGAUAAAAAUCUGCAAGAUUAAUAAUAAUAAAAAAAAGAUAUAUCUCGAGGUUCUAAAAAAUUGUUUGCUCAGCAGUCUUUCAAAAAAAAAAAAUCCUAUAGAAUUUUGCAUUUUUUUUUUUUUUUUUUAAUAAGUUCAAUUUUUGUUAAGGC
RNAcentral lists this long non-coding RNA (1918 nucleotides) under Androctonus crassicauda. Lineage: Eukaryota; Metazoa; Arthropoda; Arachnida; Scorpiones; Buthidae. The record is from RNAcentral.